CCGUCACCACUUCUUUUUUCUUCUAGACCCUUACAGUGCAUCGGCUCAUCCCUCCAUCUCUAUCUCAAUUCAUUUACUUCCCACCGGCAUAGUGCUCCAAAAUAGCAACAAUACAGGCUCAAGCGCACGACAGCACUACACUCUCCACCAUCGAUCCCUUCGCUCCCUUCAUUAGUGACAACUGCGACACACAGAAUCAGGUAUCACAUCUCCAUCUUUCUUAUAUUUAGAAAUCAUAACAUCGACUCAUCUGUUCUACUGCUUACCUGCUUCUACACUCUCAAUCAAAAGGUAAAUUACCACCACUGCGGUUUGGGGAUUUUUUCUGAAUACUGCUUAUCUGCUAUAAUUGCUUUUGUAGUAGAUACUCUCCAUCAAACUGUCACCGCCAUCGACUUCUUCAAGAACAUGGAAACCCACCGUCUCUCUCUAAACUCAUCUAAAACCCAUUUCUAUGAAAGAGAUGAAUGUACAGUAAACUACACGAACACAAAAUAGGACCCACGAUUAUCGAUUUAAUUGUCCGACCUCGAUUACCAAUCAAGACAGGGAAAUCGGUGACAGAGAAAAGUGAAGUCGUCGGCGUAACGUUCCGAGUUCACCGAAUACUCUAAAAACCUCUGAUUUCACACAUCAUCGUUUCCAUUUGUGCCCUACCUUUAUUCUUCCAGCAGGUGUUUGGUGGUAGUUGUGGAGUUAGAAGGGCAAGAGAGUGGUGCAACGGGGUGGGUAUCAACGAAAAUGAUGGAGACGGACUGCAUGUUGUCGUCAUUGCAGGUAAAAUGAGGUUUGUAACAUCCUAAAAAUACGAGCCAAAAAUUUCAUUCUUAAAACAUGUGCUUAGCAAAACAUUAGGAAUAAAACGUUUAACGAUCAUCUCAUUUCGCAAAAGAUAUUGCAUGUCUGGAAAGCAUUUUUAUAAAACAUAAAAGUGUCAAAGUACAAGUCCCCAGGUGAUAUCAUAAUGUGGAAUAUAAAGCAUGUGUGUGAUGUACCGCUACCGCACCAGCUCCUUCCCCUUCGAAGAAGAGGUACCUGAAACCAAAACUGAGAACUGUAAGCACGAAGCUUAGUGAGUUCCCCCAUAAUACCUCAUACCAUACAAACAUACAAUGAACAACUAGGAGAUACGGGCCUCGCCCACACUCCGCUAGCUGGGAGAUACGUGCCUCGCCCACACUCCACUAGCUGGGAGAUACGGGCCUCGCCCACACUCCUCUAUUUGGGAGAUACGGACCUUGACCACACUCCACUCUCAAAAAGAUACGGGCCUCGCUCACACUCAACUGCUAACCCGUAAUAUACAAGUAUCACACAGACAACGAGUAUAGACAAUUCUAACAUACUGGCAUAUAUCAUACUCAAAUCAACCAGGAGAUACGGGCUCGACCCACACUCUAACACUAACAUCUCAUCUAUACGGGCCGGCCUUGGUGCCUUAGAACCGUUACUACUGGAAGGAAACUCACCUCCAAGUAGCUGCUGAUCUGUGUGGGAACUGACUGUCUGCUGCUGCUGCCGCUGCCGCUCCGGAAAUCCUCCAGCUAUAAUUCCCACAAAACCCUUAAUCAAAUACUGCUAACCGGCUUCAGGGUAAAAUGACCAUUUACCCUUUACCAAUCAAGAGUCAAGUCAAAGUCAACUAUCAGUUGGCCCGACUCGCCGAGUUGACUUGUCAACUCGCCGAGCCCUAUCCCUUUGUCCGACCAUAAACCCGUCUCUACUCGUUGAGUUAAGCAUUGACUCGACGAGUUCUCCUUCUAAACUAAAGGCCAAUAGUCCUUCAUCCUACUUGUCGAGUUGUAUGAACAACUCACCGAGUUCGUCUUCAUCCGAAGAACACUCUAAGCUGUGACUCGCCGAGUUGUAUGAACAACUCGCCGAUUUGUUCUUAAGACAAGAAGAUUGCCUUGAACUUGCCGAGUCAUGGCACUGACUCGCCGAGUUACUUCACGAGUGAGUCUAGCUUCCGACUCGCUGAGUCCUAUCCCACGACUCACCACUCCACCCCGUAAUCACGAAAAGGGGAAAACUCGGGGACUCGCGACUCGACUCGCCGAGUCAGAUGAACGACUCGCCGAGUCGGCUACAUGCAAAUACUAUACACGCGAUUCUACUUGAAUCCAACUCAUGCUAUUCAUAGAUCUGGGUUUCUAGGGCAUGAAUAACACGUAAAGUUUCCAACUUUACGUGUAAAUAUUCACCAAUGAAGGUUUUAGGGCUCAAAAUGCACCAAAAGAGUAGAUCUAGGGCUUUCAUGCAAUAUGGCUCCAUAAAGGUAGUAGAUCCAAGCUCCUGGAGCUCAAUCAUGCCUAGAUCUAGAGGCUAAACAACUUAUUACGAACCCUAAAACACAAACAAGCUUGGGGAAAGGCUCAAGAAGGACUUUCAUGGAGCUACAAGGGACAUUAAGCAUGAAAACAGAGGGAAACUGAGAUAUACAUCAAGGGAAUCACUGAGAUAACCCAAAUAUGCCUGGCCUCCUCCUCUUCUUCUUGAUCUACUCUUCUUCCCUCUCCAAACCUUCAAGAAAACACACAAAAAUGCUUCAAACUCACAAGGAACAAGGCUUGAACGAAGUAUAGAGCUCUGAGGGUGAAAGGGGCGAGCUUGGGGGCGGAUAAGAGGGUUUAAAUAGGGUGCAAACCCUUGAAAUUUAGGGUUUCAUCAGACAGCGGGGACUCGCCGAGUCUAGAAUAUGGACUCGCCGAGUCGCCAACUUAAACGUGUUUCGGAUCCCGUCUCUACUCGGCGAGUUAGACCUACAACUCCCCGAGUCCAAGGCUAAAAAUGGAAAACACGAAGAUAAAUUUUACGUACGAGGAACCAGGUGCUACAAGUUGCCACCUCAUGAACCUUCUAUUAUCUAGAAAGCUGUCAACUAUUUCCUACAAAAUCAUGAAGGUGUAUAACGAUUAUUGAUGUUCGAUGUGUUGCUGCUGAUUUUGAUGCUAGAUAUAAAGCUCUAGAGUGAACAUAGGUCGGGAACAUUUAUCGACUCUUGAGAAACGUCCGCAAUGCAGAAAGCUUGCACAGUUCCUGUGGGACUUCAUGAUUUCAGUUCUUUUCAAGCAUCUGCUUGCCAGCUUCUCAUCUUGUGCUUAAUGAAAUACAUCAAUUUCCUGAUGACUAUUAAGAAUUAAUUUUUAUGAUUUAUUAAAAAUUUCCGAAAACAUUCAAUCAUUUUGUAUCUGUACCAUUGAUGUUUACAAUAAUGAUUCACCAUUGGUGUGUACUAAUCUAUUUUCUCGCACUCAAAAAGUGUUUGUGCGUGUUCUUUA
Lactuca sativa (garden lettuce) is the source of this 3281-nucleotide long non-coding RNA. RefSeq lists it as uncharacterized. NCBI's taxonomy places the organism in Eukaryota, Viridiplantae, Streptophyta, Magnoliopsida, Asterales, Asteraceae. The record is from RefSeq and is a predicted model, not a curated record.